This 685-nucleotide ribosomal RNA is filed under the name Streptomyces longisporoflavus. RNAcentral's name for it is "bacterial SSU rRNA". It matches the Rfam family "Bacterial small subunit ribosomal RNA", at positions 120 to 833 of the family's 1533-position model. Lineage: Bacteria; Bacillati; Actinomycetota; Actinomycetes; Kitasatosporales; Streptomycetaceae. The record is from RNAcentral.
GGAAGCGUGCCUUUCGGUUCGGAAUAAUUCAGGGAAACUUGUUCUAAUACCGAAUGUGCCCUUCGGGGGAAAGAUUUAUCGCCAUUAGAGCGGCCCGCGUCUGAUUAGCUAGUUGGUGAGGUAAAGGCUCACCAAGGCGACGAUCAGUAGCUGGUCUGAGAGGAUGAUCAGCCAGCACAUUGGGACUGAGACACGGCCCAAACUCCUACGGGAGGCAGCAGUGGGGAAUCUUGAACGCAAUGGGCCAAAACCCGACGCAGCCAUGCCGCGUGAAUGAUGAAGGUCUUAGGAUUGUAAAAUUCUUUCACCGGGGACGAUAAUGACGGUACCCGGAGAAGAAGCCCCGGCUAACUUCGUGCCAGCAGCCGCGGUAAUACGAAGGGGGCUAGCGUUGCUCGGAAUUACUGGGCGUAAAGGGAGCGUAGGCGGACAUUUAAGUCAGGGGUGAAAUCCCGGGGCUCAACCUCGGAAUUGCCUUUGAUACUGGGUGUCUUGAGUAUGAGAGAGGUAUGUGGAACUCCGAGUGUAGAGGUGAAAUUCGUAGAUAUUCGGAAGAACACCAGUGGCGAAGGCGACAUACUGGCUCAUUACCUGACGCUGAGGCUCGAAAGCGUGGGGAGCAAACAGGAUUAGAUACCCUGGUAGUCCACGCCGUAAACGAUGAUUGCUAGUUGUCGGGAUGCAU